CACAGGUGUAUUGCUUGGAGACUGCCUAACACAUCUAGCUGCCAACCUAAGGGGCUAAAUUUAGACGUUGGAACAAAGCACACAUGUUAAAGCAAGCUUGCUCCUUCUCUGGAUCCGUGGGAUAGAACGGGCCACCUGGAUAGGAAGUGACCGAAGUGCCAGUGGAGUUAAGACAGCAAAGAUGAUUUACUAUACACGUGUUACAUUCAGCCACAAAUGAGAAGGAAACUUGUCCACAAAGUCACAGGUCCGGGGAAAGGACCAAAAGGGACCACUUGGAUAUGAGCAAGCGCCUUCUUCCUAUAAUAAGUAUUCAGGAUAGUCCAUGGACUGGAUCAUCUCAGAGGGGGCGCAAUGGCCUUAUCCAUGACCCAUCCCUUUCUCACAUCAGCCCCAGAAGACAUGCGGCUCUCUGUGUCCACACUGACCUCUAGGGAGACCACCAACCUCAUGCUGAGUUGGGCAUUUUAUGGACUUGCUCCAGGGAAACUACAGAAAGAAAAAUCAACCAUGUCGUCGGGGCACCUACCUAACUAAAUUGUUUCAGCUUAGCAGGAAGCAGUAAGACUCAUGCGUCUUAGCCUUCUGCUGGUCUUAAGUUCCUUUGAGAUUCUGAUGAAAGCUACAGAUUCA
Molecule: long non-coding RNA, 633 nt
Organism: Bos indicus x Bos taurus (hybrid cattle)
Lineage: Eukaryota; Metazoa; Chordata; Mammalia; Artiodactyla; Bovidae
Source: Ensembl